GAGUCAGUAUGAUAAAAUAAUCAUUAAGUCUUUUAAACUUAUUAUGCCUAUUAGGCCUGAUUUA
RNAcentral lists this transfer RNA (64 nucleotides) under Brachionus koreanus. Its description in RNAcentral is "tRNA-Lys". The record is from RNAcentral. Lineage: Eukaryota; Metazoa; Rotifera; Eurotatoria; Ploima; Brachionidae.